Molecule: ribosomal RNA, 467 nt
Filed under: uncultured bacterium
Lineage: Bacteria
Description: partial 16S ribosomal RNA
Rfam family: Bacterial small subunit ribosomal RNA
Source: RNAcentral
GAUGAACGCUGGCGGCGUGCUUAACACAUGCAAGUCGAACGGUGAAGGCGGAGCUUGCUCUGCUGGAUCAGUGGCGAACGGGUGAGUAACACGUGAGCAAUCUGCCCCUGACUCUGGGAUAAGCGCUGGAAACGGCGUCUAAUACUGGAUACGAGCUGCGAAGGCAUCUUCAGCAGCUGGAAGGAACUUCGGUCAGGGAUGAGCUCGCGGCCUAUCAGCUUGUUGGUGAGGUAACGGCUCACCAAGGCGUCGACGGGUAGCCGGCCUGAGAGGGUGACCGGCCAAACUGGGACUGAGAAACGGCCCAGACUCCUACGGGAGGCAGCAGUGGGGAAUAUUGCACAAUGGGCGAAAGCCUGAUGCAGCAACGCCGCGUGGGGGACGACGGCCUUCGGGUUGUAAACCUCUUUUAGCAGGGAAGAAGCGAAAGUGACGGUACCUGCAGAAAAAGCGCCGGCUAACUACGU